RNAcentral lists this ribosomal RNA (412 nucleotides) under Staphylococcus aureus. RNAcentral describes it as "partial 23S ribosomal RNA". It matches the Rfam family "Bacterial large subunit ribosomal RNA", at positions 1947 to 2358 of the family's 2925-position model. The record is from RNAcentral. Lineage: Bacteria; Bacillati; Bacillota; Bacilli; Caryophanales; Staphylococcaceae.
GGUCCUAAGGUAGCGAAAUUCCUUGUCGGGUAAGUUCCGACCCGCACGAAAGGCGUAACGAUUUGGGCACUGUCUCAACGAGAGACUCGGUGAAAUCAUAGUACCUGUGAAGAUGCAGGUUACCCGCGACAGGACGGAAAGACCCCGUGGAGCUUUACUGUAGCCUGAUAUUGAAAUUCGGCACAGCUUGUACAGGAUAGGUAGGAGCCUUUGAAACGUGAGCGCUAGCUUACGUGGAGGCGCUGGUGGGAUACUACCCUAGCUGUGUUGGCUUUCUAACCCGCACCACUUAUCGUGGUGGGAGACAGUGUCAGGCGGGCAGUUUGACUGGGGCGGUCGCCUCCUAAAAGGUAACGGAGGCGCUCAAAGGUUCCCUCAGAAUGGUUGGAAAUCAUUCAUAGAGUGUAAAGGC